AGCCCCGUUCCUAAAUCGUCCGUCAUAGGUCCAAAAGUGAAUACGGACGAAGAUUCCUCCCAGACCAAAGGUGCCCACCCAGAAAGUUCUUGCUGUGCACGUAGUGCCCAGAGUGCUGCACCAAUGGCAGAAUGCCCAAAAGUGAAUACGGACCAAGAUUCCUCCCAGACCGAAGAUGUCCACCCAG
Chiroxiphia lanceolata (lance-tailed manakin) is the source of this 187-nucleotide long non-coding RNA. RefSeq lists it as uncharacterized. Lineage: Eukaryota; Metazoa; Chordata; Aves; Passeriformes; Pipridae. The record is from RefSeq and is a predicted model, not a curated record. The transcript has 3 exons.